AAGUGGGGUUGUAAUUCAAUCCAUUGUGUGUUGGAGGUUGGGCUUGGGGCCCGAUAAAAAGGAGGUUGCAUAAUAAGUCCCACAUUGGAAAACCCCUCUUUACAUGAAAGCUUUAUAUAUGGUCGUUCAACAGCAAAGGUUGUCCCUUCGGGGACAUCCGAUAAAAUUGGAACGAUACAGAGAAGAUUAGCAUGGCCCCUGCGCAAGGAUGACACGCAUAAAUCGAGAAAUGGUCCAAAUUUUUUUUGCCCUUUCUGAUAUAUUUUUUCCUGCCUUCUCCAUGCUGCUCAUUGCAGUUGCAGAGGGUUUAUAAGCUACCGGAACUAGAAGCAUUUGCAUUUAUAGGCUUUGACGGUUCGUCGGCUCAAUCAUUGAUCUUCCAGGUGUUACCUUGUCAUCACCAAAUUUGGCCCACAAGCGUGCAGCGGCUCUCUGAAGAGGAUCUUCAGGCAGCAAGGGAUUUUCCUUCCAAGUUUCAUCAAUGUAUUCAAGAACUACAAAAGACUCAACAAUUGGUUUUCCAUUGUGCACAAGCACUGGAACCUUUUUAUGAAUAGGGUUAUACUGAAGAAGCUAAGGGCUUUUGUUUGAAAGAUCUUCGUAGAUUGUUUCAUAUGGGACACCUUUGAGUUUCAGUGCCCAAAUUAUUCUCAAAGCAAAAGGACUUGACCAUGUCCUAAAGAGCUUCACUUCUGCCAUUUUUGCUGUUAAUUUGAGCUAUGAUCUGCUAGCAUUUUAUGCUUAACUUUCGCCUUGGAAUUUUGCCAAGGUGUCCUAAGCUUUCUUGUAUUUCUUUAUGAAACCUUCUAUAUUGGUAAGUAUGACUUGGUCCCUAGAAA
This is a long non-coding RNA of Prunus persica (peach), 839 nucleotides long. RefSeq lists it as uncharacterized. The record is from RefSeq and is a predicted model, not a curated record. Lineage: Eukaryota; Viridiplantae; Streptophyta; Magnoliopsida; Rosales; Rosaceae. The transcript is spliced from 2 exons.